RNAcentral lists this ribosomal RNA (492 nucleotides) under uncultured bacterium. RNAcentral describes it as "partial 16S ribosomal RNA". It matches the Rfam family "Bacterial small subunit ribosomal RNA", at positions 29 to 507 of the family's 1533-position model. The record is from RNAcentral.
AGUGAACGCUGGCGGUAGGCCUAACACAUGCAAGUCGAACGGCAGCACAGUAAGAGCUUGCUCUUACGGGUGGCGAGUGGCGGACGGGUGAGGAAUACAUCGGAAUCUACUUUUUCGUGGGGGAUAACGGAGGGAAACUUACGCUAAUAACGCAUAAGACCUAAGGGGGAAAGCAGGGGAUCUUCGGACCUUGCGCGAUUGAAUGAGGCGAUGUCGGAUUAGCUAGUUGGCGGGGUAAAGGCCCACCAAGGCGACGAUCCGUAGCUGGUCUGAGAGGAUGAUCAGCCACACUGGAACUGAGACACGGUCCAGACUCCUACGGGAGGCAGCAGUGGGGAAUAUUGGACAAUGGGCGCAAGCCUGAUCCAGCCAUACCGCGUGGGUGAAGAAGGCCUUCGGGUUGUAAAGCCCUUUUGUUGGGAAAGAAAAGCAGCAGGUUAAUACCCCGCUGUUCUGACGGUACCCAAAGAAUAAGCACCGGCUAACUUCGUG